RNAcentral lists this long non-coding RNA (236 nucleotides) under Elaeis guineensis (African oil palm). RNAcentral's name for it is "long non-coding RNA (EGUI_LNC037653)". Lineage: Eukaryota; Viridiplantae; Streptophyta; Magnoliopsida; Arecales; Arecaceae. The record is from RNAcentral.
CCGGGGGUGGAUGGUGGGUGCGGCGUAGAUGACUGUGGGGUUGGGCCGCGACGGGUGCAACACGAACAGCCGCGGCUUGGGCCUCACAGAGAAAGAAGGAGGUGGCUCUAGCAAUGGAAUGGAACGGGCCUGGGGCCUGCGGCAGAUGGCGGCGUGGCGGGGCCGUGGGUAGCAUGCCAGAGAGAGUGAGUGCAGGUUGGCCACUAGCAGAGAAAGGUGGAGGAUCGGCUGGGGGG